GCAGUCGAACGAUGAAGCCCUUCGGGGUGGAUUAGUGGCGAACGGGUGAGUAACACGUGGGCAAUCUGCCCUUCACUCUGGGACAAGCCCUGGAAACGGGGUCUAAUACCGGAUAACACUCUGUCCUGCAUGGGACGGGGUUGAAAGCUCCGGCGGUGAAGGAUGAGCCCGCGGCCUAUCAGCUUGUUGGUGGGGUAAUGGCCUACCAAGGCGACGACGGGUAGCCGGCCUGAGAGGGCGACCGGCCACACUGGGACUGAGACACGGCCCAGACUCCUACGGGAGGCAGCAGUGGGGAAUAUUGCACAAUGGGCGAAAGCCUGAUGCAGCGACGCCGCGUGAGGGAUGACGGCCUUCGGGUUGUAAACCUCUUUCAGCAGGGAAGAAGCGCAAGUGACGGUACCUGCAGAAGAAGCGCCGGCUAACUACGUGCCAGCAGCCGCGGUAAUACGUAGGGCGCAAGCGUUGUCCGGAAUUAUUGGGCGUAAAGAGCUCGUAGGCGGCUUGUCACGUCGGAUGUGAAAGCCCGGGGCUUAACCCCGGGUCUGCAUUCGAUACGGGCUAGCUAGAGUGUGGUAGGGGAGAUCGGAAUUCCUGGUGUAGCGGUGAAAUGCGCAGAUAUCAGGAGGAACACCGGUGGCGAAGGCGGAUCUCUGGGCCAUUACUGACGCUGAGGAGCGAAAGCGUGGGGAGCGAACAGGAUUAGAUACCCUGGUAGUCCACGCCGUAAACGUUG
RNAcentral lists this ribosomal RNA (736 nucleotides) under Streptomyces sp. HUST008. RNAcentral's name for it is "bacterial SSU rRNA". It matches the Rfam family "Bacterial small subunit ribosomal RNA", at positions 57 to 811 of the family's 1533-position model. The record is from RNAcentral. Lineage: Bacteria; Bacillati; Actinomycetota; Actinomycetes; Kitasatosporales; Streptomycetaceae.